CCUACGGGUGGCAGCAGUGGGGGAUAUUGCACAAUGGGGGGAACCCUGAUGCAGCGACGCCGCGUGGGUGAAGAAGCGCCUCGGCGCGUAAAGCCCUGUCAGCAGGGAAGAAAAUGACGGUACCUGAAGAAGAAGCCCCGGCUAACUACGUGCCAGCAGCCGCGGUAAUACGUAGGGGGCAAGCGUUAUCCGGAUUUACUGGGUGUAAAGGGGGCGCAGACGGCGAUGCAAGCCAGGAGUGAAAGCCCGGGGCCCAACCCCGGGACUGCUCUUGGAACUGUAGUUCUUGAGUGUUGGAGAGGCAGGCGGAAGUCCGUGUGUAGCGGUGAAAUGCGUAGAUAUACGGAGGAACACCAGUGGCGAAGGCGGCCUGCUGGACAAUAACUGACGCUGAGGCGCGAAAGCGUGGGGAGCAAACAGGAUUAGAUACCCUGGUAGUC
Molecule: ribosomal RNA, 440 nt
Filed under: uncultured bacterium
Lineage: Bacteria
Description: partial 16S ribosomal RNA
Rfam family: Bacterial small subunit ribosomal RNA
Source: RNAcentral